RNAcentral lists this transfer RNA (85 nucleotides) under Scleropages formosus (Asian bonytongue). It matches the Rfam family "tRNA". Rfam says of the family: Transfer RNA (tRNA) molecules are approximately 80 nucleotides in length. Lineage: Eukaryota; Metazoa; Chordata; Actinopteri; Osteoglossiformes; Osteoglossidae. The record is from Rfam by way of RNAcentral.
GGCACGGUGGCGCAGUGAGUAGCGCUGUUGCUUUAUAGUGCCUUGGUGGUGCAAGAGAAUGUGGGUUCGAUCCCUGCUCAGGCUG